Molecule: ribosomal RNA, 404 nt
Filed under: Actinomycetes bacterium
Lineage: Bacteria; Bacillati; Actinomycetota; Actinomycetes
Also listed under: 1 other name
Description: Actinobacteria bacterium partial 16S ribosomal RNA
Rfam family: Bacterial small subunit ribosomal RNA
Source: RNAcentral
UGGGGAAUAUUGCGCAAUGGAGGAAACUCUGACGCAGCAACGCCGCGUGAAUGAUGAAGGCCUUAGGGUUGUAAAGUUCUGUCUUCUGGGACGAUAAUGACGGUACCAGAGGAGGAAGCCACGGCUAACUACGUGCCAGCAGCCGCGGUAAUACGUAGGUGGCAAGCGUUGUCCGGAUUUACUGGGCGUAAAGGAUGCGUAGGCGGAUAUUUAAGUCAGAUGUGAAAUACCCGGGCUCAACUUGGGUGCUGCAUUUGAAACUGGAUAUCUAGAGUGCGGGAGAGGUAAGUGGAAUUCCUAGUGUAGCGGUGAAAUGCGUAGAGAUUAGGAAGAACACCAGUGGCGAAGGCGACUUACUGGACCGUAACUGACGCUGAGGCAUGAAAGCGUGGGGAGCAAACAGG